Caenorhabditis elegans is the source of this 133-nucleotide non-coding RNA. The record is from Ensembl. NCBI's taxonomy places the organism in Eukaryota, Metazoa, Nematoda, Chromadorea, Rhabditida, Rhabditidae.
AAAGAAGAAGAAGACAGAAAAAGAGUUUUGAUGAUUGAGUGGAAAAGGAAAGGUCUUCCGGAAAUCUGUGCGUUGACGGUGUGUUGACCACCGAACAAACGAUGCCAAUCAGUCCGAAGACAUAUCUUUUCUU